AUUGAACGCUGGCGGCAUGCCUCACACAUGCAAGUCGAACGGCAGCACGGGAGCAAUCCUGGUGGCGAGCGGCGAACGGGUGUGUAAAGUAUCGGAACGUGCCCAGUCGUGGGGGAUAACGUAGCGAAAGUUACGCUAAUACCGCAUACGAUCUAUGGAUGAAAGCGGGGGAUCGCAAGACCUCGCGCGAUUGGAGCGGCCGAUAUCAGAUUAGGUAGUUGGUGGGGUAAAGGCUCACCAAGCCAACGAUCUGUAGCUGGUCUGAGAGGACGACCAGCCACACUGGAACUGAGACACGGUCCAGACUCCUACGGGAGGCAGCAGUGGGGAAUUUUGGACAAUGGGCGAAAGCCUGAUCCAGCCAUUCCGCGUGCAGGAUGAAGGCCCUCGGGUUGUAAACUGCUUUUGUACAGAACGAAAAGGUUUCUACUAAUACUAGGAGCUCAUGACGGUACUGUAAGAAUAAGCACCGGCUAACUACGUGCCAGCCGCCGCCGUAA
Molecule: ribosomal RNA, 500 nt
Filed under: uncultured bacterium
Lineage: Bacteria
Description: partial 16S ribosomal RNA
Rfam family: Bacterial small subunit ribosomal RNA
Source: RNAcentral